UUCGACAUCAUGAGUUCACGUUUGUGAUUCUUAACAUUUUGUUAAAAAGCUUGUCGUUGUGACUAUUUCGUGGUAAUUCGAAUAUUAAUUCAAUAUCAAAAGCUUACAAGUUACAAAGAUAGCUUUUUUGUGAUAAUGUGAUCUAAAUACUAAUGAGACAGAACUAACUCGUCUUUGCGAUGAGUAGAGUGGCACAUUCCCGGUUUCGUCUUGGCUUGACUAGACAUCGAUGCCCAUAGAUUAAACUAUAUACAAAAAAAAAAAAAAACACAAUAACAUGAAAUACGAGUCAUGGUCCCCGUGUUAUUGUGUAUAAUAUGACUCGCAAUGUAGGAGGAUUAACUUAAAUUAUUAGUAUUAGUUUUGGAUAACACAAAUUAAACUAAUAGCUUUACCCCCUCCUCCAAUACUUUUUUAUAAGUGUCAAACAGGCGUCACGCCACUUAUAUAUACACAAGUUGCAACUAAGUGGACUGAUCUAUGCGAUUCCACAUAUGUGUACAUAUGAGUAUGCAUGACGAGAUGAUGACAUGUACAUUCUUUUGGGAGUGCGAGUUUGCAGCGGCAUUGACAUGGAUGUAAGUUUUUGUCACCUAGCUUUUUCCAAUUAAUAUGGCCAUGGUUGGAUCGGAUAUUUAUGGUUUACAGCAGCAAUAAUAUCUCUUAUUGUAAAUGUAAGUAAGCAAAUGCCAUUAAAUAUUUCACCCAACACUCUGUAACAUUACUGGUGGAUAUAUA
This 738-nucleotide long non-coding RNA is filed under the name Capsella rubella. RNAcentral describes it as "long non-coding RNA (CRUB_LNC004400)". The record is from RNAcentral. Lineage: Eukaryota; Viridiplantae; Streptophyta; Magnoliopsida; Brassicales; Brassicaceae.